This 1942-nucleotide ribosomal RNA is filed under the name human metagenome. RNAcentral's name for it is "bacterial LSU rRNA". It matches the Rfam family "Bacterial large subunit ribosomal RNA", at positions 707 to 2653 of the family's 2925-position model. The record is from RNAcentral.
UCAUAGACGCGAAACCUAGUGAUCUAGGCCUGUCCAGGCUGAAGCUGAGGUAAGACUCAGUGGAGGGCCGAACUCACCGCCGUUGAAAAGUUGGGAGAUGAGAUAGGUCUAGGGGUGAAAAGCCAAUCGAACUAGGAGAUAGCUCGUUCUCUCCGAAAUGCAUUUAGGUGCAGCCUUGGUUGAAGAUAUGCGGGGGUAGAGCACUGUAUGGCCUAGGGGGCGUAUAGCUUACCGAAGUCAAGCAAACUGCGAAUACCGUAUAUUGUUUACCAGGAGUGAGUCUACGGAUGACAAGGUCCGUGGACGAGAGGGGAACAGCCCAGACCGCCAGCUAAGGUCCCAAAUUAUGUCUAAGUGGGAAAGGAGGUGGAUAUUCACAGACAACCAGGAGGUUGGCUUAGAAGCAGCCAUACCUUGAAAGAGUGCGUAAUAGCUCACUGGUCGAGAGUAUCUGCGCCGAAGAUAUAACGGGGCUAAGACAUGAACCGAAGCCGCGGAAGCGUGAUAACACGUUUGGUAGGAGAGCGUUCUGUAGGCCGUAGAAGGUGUCCUGUAAGGGAUGUUGGAGGUAUCAGAAGUGAGAAUGCAGGAAUGAGUAGCGAGAAGGAGGGCGAGAAUCCCUCCGGCCGGAAGUCCAAGGUUUCCAGGGGAAGGUUUGUCCGCCCUGGGGGAGUCGGGACCUAAGCAUAAGCAGAGCUGCGAAGGCGAAUGGAAAACAGGUUAAUAUUCCUGUACCGCUGUGUACUGACUGAGAGAUGGAGUGACGCAGGAAGGUAUGCGGGAAGGCUGACGGAAUAGCCUUUCUAAGGGUGAAGCGUGGACAUAUAGGCAAAUCCGUAUGUUUAAACGUGAGGCCUGACGGGUAAGUGCCAUAUGGCAUAAGCCGCAGAUCCUACACUGCCGGGAAAAACUUCUAUUUAGGGAAGCAGCGCCCGUACUGUAAACCGACACAGGUGGACAGAGUGAGAAACUUAAGGCCGACAGGACAACUCUGGCUAAGGAACUCUGCAAAAUGGCCCCGUAACUUAGGGAGAAGGGGUGCCCGUGCUACCUGAAGGGGGAGACACCCGGAGGGGAAGCGGGCCGCAGUGAAGAGUCCCAAGCAACUGUUUACCAAAAACACAGGUCUAUGCUAAGCCGGAAGGCGACGUAUAUGGGCUGACACCUGCCCAGUGCCGGAAGGUUAAGAGGAGGAUUGAGAGAUCCGAAUUGAAGCCCCGGUGAACGGCGGCCGUAACUAUAACGGUCCUAAGGUAGCGAAAUUCCUUGUCGGGUAAGUUCCGACCUGCACGAAUGGUGAAAUGAUUUGGGAGCUGUCUUGGCCGGAGACCUGGUGAAGUUGUAAUGCCGGUGAAGAUACCGGUUACCUGCAGUAGGACGGAAAGACCCCGUGGAGCUUUACUGUAGCCUGGCAUUGGGUUUCGGCAAUGUGUGUAUAGGAUAGCUGGGAGGCUAAGAAGAUAUGGUGUCAGCUGUAUUGGAGCCGCUGUUGGAAUACCAGCCACGCAUUGUUGGGAUUCUAAUCUCAAGAGAUGGGAGACAGUGCUAGGUGGGCAGUUUGACUGGGGCGGUCGCCUCCAAAAGAGUAACGGAGGCGUUCAAAGGUUCCCUCAGGCUGGAUGGAAAUCAGCCGGAGAGUGCAAACGCAUAAGGGAGCUUGACUGCGAGACUGACGGGUCGAGCAGGCACGAAAGUGGGAGUUAGUGAUCCGGCGGUUCUGAAUGGAAAGGCCGUCGCUCAACGGAUAAAAGCUACCCCGGGGAUAACAGGCUGAUACUUCCCAAGAGUCCAUAUCGACGGAAGUGUUUGGCACCUCGAUGUCGGCUCGUCUCAUCCUGGGGCUGGAGAAGGUCCCAAGGGUUGGGCUGUUCGCCCAUUAAAGAGGCACGCGAGCUGGGUUCAGAACGUCGUGAGACAGUUCGGUCCCUAUCCACUGCAGGCG